Molecule: ribosomal RNA, 907 nt
Filed under: Cortinarius sp. PDD 87438
Lineage: Eukaryota; Fungi; Basidiomycota; Agaricomycetes; Agaricales; Cortinariaceae
Description: partial large subunit ribosomal RNA
Rfam family: Eukaryotic large subunit ribosomal RNA
Source: RNAcentral
GAGACUAACAAGGAUUCCCCUAGUAACUGCGAGUGAAGCGGGAAAAGCUCAAAUUUAAAAUCUGGCGGUCUUUGGCCGUCCGAGUUGUAAUCUAGAGAAGUGCUAUCCGCGCUGGACCGUGUACAAGUCUCCUGGAAUGGAGCGUCAUAGAGGGUGAGAAUCCCGUCUUUGACACGGACUGCCAGGGCUUUGUGAUGCGCUCUCAAAGAGUCGAGUUGUUUGGGAAUGCAGCUCAAAAUGGGUGGUAAAUUCCAUCUAAAGCUAAAUAUUGGCGAGAGACCGAUAGCGAACAAGUACCGUGAGGGAAAGAUGAAAAGAACUUUGGAAAGAGAGUUAAACAGUACGUGAAAUUGCUGAAAGGGAAACGCUUGAAGUCAGUCGCGUUGUCCAGGGAUCAACCUUGCUUUUGCUUGGUGCACUUUCUGGUUGACGGGUCAGCAUCAAUUUUGACUAUUGGAAAAAGAUUAGGGGAAUGUGGCAUCUUCGGAUGUGUUAUAGCCCUUGGUUGCAUACAAUGGUUGGGAUUGAGGAACUCAGCACGCCGCAAGGCCGGGUUUUUAACCACGUACGUGCUUAGGAUGCUGGCAUAAUGGCUUUAAUCGACCCGUCUUGAAACACGGACCAAGGAGUCUAACAUGCCUGCGAGUGUUUGGGUGGAAAACCCGAGCGCGUAAUGAAAGUGAAAGUUGAGAUCCCUGUCGUGGGGAGCAUCGACGCCCGGACCAGACCUUUUGUGACGGUUCCGCGGUAGAGCAUGUAUGUUGGGACCCGAAAGAUGGUGAACUAUGCCUGAAUAGGGUGAAGCCAGGGGAAACCCUGGUGGAGGCUCGUAGCGAUUCUGACGUGCAAAUCGAUCGUCAAAUUUGGGUAUAGGGGCGAAAGACUAAUCGAUCCAUCUAGUACCUGG